UCUUCCACGGAUUAAUGGGAGCUAAGAGGU
RNAcentral lists this non-coding RNA (30 nucleotides) under Rattus norvegicus (Norway rat). The record is from RNAcentral. Lineage: Eukaryota; Metazoa; Chordata; Mammalia; Rodentia; Muridae.